Molecule: long non-coding RNA, 1488 nt
Filed under: Rattus norvegicus (Norway rat)
Lineage: Eukaryota; Metazoa; Chordata; Mammalia; Rodentia; Muridae
Description: long non-coding RNA NONRATT031716
Source: RNAcentral
UGAUGAGGCUGGCUAGUGUUAUCUUCCCCAUGGUAAAGGCCGGAAGCUUUAUCCGGAAGCAGCGCAGCCCACGUGGUAUCUCAAUGGCUCUGUCGUGGGCGCCAGGGCAGUGAAGGCUGAUGGGAUAAUACAAUGCUGAUGAUUCACUCGGGGAGAAGGCUGGGAUGGGUCAUGAAGCUGUCUUGGAACUUAUUUUCGUCUCACACCCCCAGGAUGAAUGCGCUCAAUGUUGAUCAGGUCUCUGUCAACAGGACACUACUCUCCUUCCCCAUACCUGGUUACACAGGGCCUUUCAGCCAUGAUACUGAAAAGGCUUUUGAACUGGGCACUUCCUCUGGAUCCGUCUAUUGAAUGCCUGGCUGGCAAGUCAUCACCAGCUAUGAUGAAGACCACACAACCCCGGUGUGGAUCCCGUGACAGGAGGCACUUCCUUUCUUCCUCAGUCCUCAAAGGAUCCCAUUUGCUCGCCACUCAGAAAACACUUCCACAGGCCUGCUGAUCACUCGAACGAUGGCCGGCGAUGGCUGCCAAGGGCUUGAGCUGAGAGAGUCCAGCUUCUCCUAUUUUAGAAGAAUUGAUUUCAUCUCCAUCUGCCUCAGUGGAGUGACUGUUACCUCAGUGUUAGAGGUGAGCAAGAGAACCAGAGAGGGUUGUUUAUUAUCCAAAGCAGCACAGCCUGCAGAAUGGUGUGCCACCUCUCUCACUAGCACAAACAAAGCUCUUGGCCAGGUGAAUGUAUGACAGCGCAUAUGACCAAGACAUUGUCCCUGUAAAGCUCAUGUGCCCAUGAUGAGUAGUGAAGACUGGCAAGUCUCUGGGAUGAAUCUCCCAGGUGCCAGGGAUGCAUACGAGGUGACCAGGAACUGCCUGAGGUGUCAGUGUACUUCCUGGGCUGAAACCUUGCUUCCUCAAUAUGGCGGUGUUGUUAUAGGCCUAAGUGGGAAGUCCUUGGGUUGCAGGUUGUUUACUAAGAUGUUGAUGUUCCUCUCGUGGGAAUGAAUUAACAUCCAAAGGGCUUUGGCGUGAUUUUCUCUCUUCAACUCACGCCCAUAUGCCAUUCUGCUUUCUGCCAUGUUUGAAGCGGAAUGGAGCUCUUCCUAGAUCCAGUGGCCCAAUCUUGGACUUCCCGAACUCCGGAAUUAUGAUCACGAAUAAAUCUCUUUUAUCCAUAAAUGACCCAGUCUUGGGUAUUUUGCUAUAAUGACGGAAAAUCAACUAAGACAGAAGCCUAAGAAAGGGAUGUUUGAUGACUGGGUUUAUGCCUUCGCUGGAGUCCAAGGAGGUGACGGUUGGUUGGAUCCUAAAGGAGUGUGAUAGAUGGUUGGGAGUGGAGUUCAUCAGGGAACGCAAUGUUUGCAGAGGAUAUAGGACACGCACGAUAUGGUAGGAAAUGAAUAAUUACAGAGGCACAAGGAGCAAUUCUGAGUGGCCCACAGGGCCCAGAGCUAGGCUGGACAGAGGUCUGGAACAGUUCACAGAAGAGCUGAA